This 668-nucleotide long non-coding RNA is filed under the name Ornithorhynchus anatinus (platypus). RNAcentral describes it as "lncRNA (ENSOANG00000033917.2)". Lineage: Eukaryota; Metazoa; Chordata; Mammalia; Monotremata; Ornithorhynchidae. The record is from RNAcentral.
CUGCUCCGCCCCGGGGUCCUCUCCUCCCGCCCGCCGGGCCCGCCGCUCCGCUGGAAGGACGGACGGACGGUUUCCAGCCGCCCGCCGCCGAGGCUUCCCGGGAAAAGCCUCUCCCUGUUGGCGGGACUCGGCCUGGGCGGGCGGGGGCAUCCGUCCCCGCGUUGGCGGGAAAGUCCGGCGGGCACGGCCCGGGCGCAGGACACCCCCCGACCGUCCCUCCCGUCCGGUCCCCACGGACACCGACCUCCCUCCCUUCUGGCCGCUGCCACUGAUCGAUGGAACCACCCGGAGCUGCGAGGGAGUCGACGCGUGGUAAUACCGAUCAAUCGAUAAUAAUGUUGGUAUUUGUUAAGCGCUCACUAUGUGCAGAGCACUGAGAGUCACCGGGCGCUUACCGGUCAACCCAAGACCGGCCUCGGUCCAAUCACCAAAACAGCACCUGGGAGCCAGGUCGGAGGCAUAGGUCAUCGGGGUCGUGGUUCAUCCCGGACCUCGGCCGCUCUCUGGUCCCUGCUAGGGAAGCUUUGGUUUUCCAGGGGAAAACUUUCCCCUUUUGCUUGGAAGCCGUUCCAAGCGGGACCAUGUCAGGAUGCCUGACGGGCGCUUCCAUUGUCCAGGGUGAACGGGAGAGAUCCAGAAGCUCUACUCUAGGAUUUACAUAGAAUGGG